UGGGGGAAUUUUGGACAAUGGGGGAAACCCUGAUCCAGCCAUCCCGCGUGUGCGGUGAAGGCCUUCGGGUUGUAAAGCACUUUUGGCAGGAAAGAAACGUCGCGGGUUAAUACCCCGCGAAACUGACGGUACCUGCAGAAUAAGCACCGGCUAACUACGUGCCAGCAGCCGCGGUAAUACGUAGGGUGCAAGCGUUAAUCGGAAUUACUGGGCGUAAAGCGUGCGCAGGCGGUUCGGAAAGAAAGAUGUGAAAUCCCAGAGCUUAACUUUGGAACUGCAUUUUUAACUACCGGGCUAGAGUGUGUCAGAGGGAGGUGGAAUUCCGCGUGUAGCAGUGAAAUGCGUAGAUAUGCGGAGGAACACCGAUGGCGAAGGCAGCCUCCUGGGAUAACACUGACGCUCAUGCACGAAAGCGUGGGGAGCAAACAGGAUUAGAUACCCUGGUAGUCCACGCCCUAAACGAUGUCAACUAGCUGUUGGGGGCCUUUCGGGCCUUGGUAGCGCAGCUAACGCGUGAAGUUGACCGCCUGGGGGAGUACGGUCGCAAGAUUAAAACUCAAAUGAAUUGACGGGGUCGAU
This 579-nucleotide ribosomal RNA is filed under the name uncultured bacterium. Its description in RNAcentral is "partial 16S ribosomal RNA". It matches the Rfam family "Bacterial small subunit ribosomal RNA", at positions 354 to 923 of the family's 1533-position model. The record is from RNAcentral.